This is a long non-coding RNA of Tupaia belangeri chinensis (Chinese tree shrew), 586 nucleotides long. RefSeq lists it as uncharacterized. The record is from RefSeq and is a predicted model, not a curated record. The transcript has 3 exons. Lineage: Eukaryota; Metazoa; Chordata; Mammalia; Scandentia; Tupaiidae.
CGGAGCUCCGUGAGCGCUCUUGCCUCCGGCUACCCAGACCAGCGACACUCUGCGGACCCGCCACUUCCGGGAGCGAGGCAGCCGUUCUAGCGCAGGCGCAGUGCCCUCCCAGACGGGCGUGUCACUGGCGUCACAGAGUUGGUUGAAUCUGCUGAUGCACAACCCACGCAAAGGAUCUGGACUUCUGGCUCCUGUAGUUCACACUAUCACGACAACAAAGCGAGACGGUUCCUGGAAGGGACUGAACUCAGCGUGUAGUACAUAACAAAGAAUAAAAGAGCUGUCUGAAGCUCUCUUGGAACUUGUCCUCCCCGGCCAGAACGCGAGCUCUAACGGGGCGGGGUGGAUGUAGCCCUCAGGACGGUCCCCGCACUCGGCAGGUCAGCAGAACGUCCCUGGUGAAGGAGUGGACGCGCCGACACGCGACCGGAAGGAAGCCUCUGGCCUGGAGGGGGGGAUGCACAGGGCGGCCCCGGCCCUCGGGACGGCGCGGGCGCCCACGGAACUACAUUUCCCAGGAAGCUCUGGGCGCAGAGGAGGCCGCGGGUACUGUCGGGACGGACACGCGCGCCAGGAGCCUCGUCCC